CAUCACACGGGGUAAGAGGUCUGAGAGGAAAACAAGCUGCCAGAGUUGGACAUGCCAUAACAACGCCGCACCUGUCACCGUGUGUAUCUAUGAAAUGAGCCGGCGGAGCUCGACACCUGUGUGACCCCCUGCUGCAGUGAGCUCUCUCCCCCCAUAAUGAUCGGAGCUCUUCUGCUCGGGUCUCGGGCCGCAGCCACUUCCUCCCUCUGCGUGGACCUGAUCGAUGACGCGCCCGGCUUCGCAGAAGUGCUUAAAACCCAUUUUAGGGCAUUUUGUGGGACUUCGCGUUUGAGACCAACACGAAGUAGCGCGUACAUGUAUAGUGGAAGGAAAACCACGCAUGCUUUUCUUUUCUUUUCUUUUCUUUUAUUUCUCCUAUAAACAAUAUGAAAAGUC
Fundulus heteroclitus (mummichog) is the source of this 396-nucleotide long non-coding RNA. RefSeq lists it as uncharacterized. The transcript has 2 exons. Lineage: Eukaryota; Metazoa; Chordata; Actinopteri; Cyprinodontiformes; Fundulidae. The record is from RefSeq and is a predicted model, not a curated record.